UACGGAGGGUGCAAGCGUUAAUCGGAAUUACUGGGCGUAAAGGGUUCGUAGGUGGUCUAUUAAGUUAACUGUGAAAUCCCCGGGCUUAACCUGGGUAUGUCAGUUAAUACUGGUAGACUCGAGUACAGAAGAGGGUAGUGGAAUUUCAGGUGUAGCGGUGAAAUGCGUAGAGAUCUGAAGGAACACCAGUGGCGAAGGCGGCUACCUGGUCUGAUACUGACACUGAGGAACGAAAGCGUGGGGAGCAAACAGG
RNAcentral lists this unclassified non-coding RNA (253 nucleotides) under uncultured Legionellaceae bacterium. RNAcentral's name for it is "contains 16S-23S intergenic spacer region". It matches the Rfam family "Bacterial small subunit ribosomal RNA", at positions 524 to 776 of the family's 1533-position model. The record is from RNAcentral. Lineage: Bacteria; Pseudomonadati; Pseudomonadota; Gammaproteobacteria; Legionellales; Legionellaceae.